CAGCUCCAAAGUGGAGGUUUACACAGUAGAUCCACUUUAAUAUCCUUUUCCAAUAGGUGAUAUAUUACUUCGGACUUGAGUAUCUCAUCCUAUGUACAGGGCACUAAACAAACAGCUGUUAACCUAUGCAUAAUUAAACAUUUCACAAGGCAUUUUAGAUAUUGUAAACACAUCCAUUCAGUCAUUUGCAGAGAAUUGUGCCACUGCCUGUUAUUGGAUUUGAAGAGGUCAUCCAAUCAUAAUAAAGUUCAAUGAAAUCUGAAGACUGGUUAGGAAAGUCUUAACCAUAACCACUUGCUGUCUAUUGAAAUGUAUUGGGAAGCACAGAUUGUAUCAUCAUGAAAUUUUCACACAUGGUGGAAUUUCAUUUGUUAGCAGUCACAGAGGGUGCUGCUUGGCAUUUGAAACUCCACCACAGUAUUAAACUCAUUAUCAUGUGAAUUGAUAAUAUCUAGUACAGGUUUGUUGUUUUUUUUCCUUUCAAAUGGCUCAUUGUUGCUUGUGAUUUGUAUUGAAGUCAUCCAAUGCUGAUUUUUUUAAUUUAAUAGUCCACUUCCUCUUUUUAGGUGUGUGUUUUAUGGAAUCACAAAUAAUAGUCAUUACUAUUUCUGAGAUCAGAUCACAUGAUACCCAUGUAUCUCAAGUUUUCUUUAUAGAAGGUCGUGGUUGGUAGCUGAGAAAGAGUCAAAUGAAGCCAGUAGUAAACAAGAACUUUUUACACGGGUUUACUCUAGCUUCAAAAUCAGAAAGACCUUAUUUAAAAUCUUGUUUCACUACCUCUGAGCUAAAUGGUUUUGGGGAUACUCAUUCAUUCUGUCAGUCAAUAACACUGACACAGUGGUAACUUUGAGCUCAGCACUGAUCUAGGCACUGGGGAAAUAGCAGUGGCCUGAGCAAAGUGCAUGUCUUUAGAGAGAUCACAGGCGAGUGAAAAAACAGAAAAGGACACUUAAAUACCAAGUACAGUGAACCUCCAAAGGGAAGGCCUAAUUAAGUGGGGCUAGAUGAAACAUGUCUAAUAGAACUUAUGUCCAAGUUGAAGCCAAAGAAUGAAUGGGCCCAUUUGGGAAUGGGGGAAUUCAGGGGAGCAAAUUUGUCAGAGGAGCAGUUUAUGCAGAUUCCUACAGACUGGCUAAACUGUUUAAGAAAAAGUAAAACCUAUUUGGUCUACAUGGUGGUGGGUAGGGCAGUUAGCAGGGACAAUUAUGGGCAAAUCCUAAAGGGUCUUAAAAGGCAUGUCAGAAUUUUGGAUUUUUUUCGUAACAGCAUUGCUUAACCUUUCUAAAUGCCAAUUCACUCAGCUAUAAAUUAAGAUAAUAACACCUAAUCUCAUGAGGUUUUUAGAAAGAUUAUACAAGAUAUAUGUAUAUAAUUUGCUUAGAAACCAGGCUUGGCACAUUAUAAAUAUCUUAUGAUAAUAGCUAUUAUUCAUUUUCUUCAGCCUAUUAUUACUGGUAUUCUUAUUAAAAAGCCAAUUUGUGGCUGGGCCAUAUAAGGGUAAGGAGGGUAUCAAAGCUAGUAGAUCAGAGCCCAGUGGAAGCCUGUUUGCUGUUUGCUAGUUUGCACAGUUAGAUACUUUUCAGGAGAUACCAACUUUAGGAAGAAAGAAUUAGCAAGCAGGUAUCUUAGCUCUAAACUGAUACCACCUAGAGCAGUGGUUUUCAACCAAGAGCUAUUUUUGCUUCCCGGAGGACAUCUGGUGACAUCUGGAAACCAUAAUGCUUGACACCCCUGGAGGGAGGGUGUAAUGGGUGGAGACCAUGGGUUCUGCUAAUAUCCUUCACUGCACAGAACAGUCACCCACAACAAAGAACUGGCAAUAGUGCUGAGUUUGGGAACCCAUCACCUAGGUCAUGGCAGUCAGCGUGAGAACAGGGGCCAAAUCUGGCACAAGGUGUCAAAGAUGAUGAGUUCGAGUCUGUGAAGCUAUCACAUUAUUACAAGGUUGUCUCUAUCCUUUGCCUUUUCUGCCCUCUGUUGCCCUGGAAUACAAAGUAAACAUCACAUGGUGAAUUGCAUGUACAGUUUGCUCUGUUUCAAGGCUGCUAAAACAUAUAGACAUCCUUUAACUAAUCAGUUUCAGCCAGUCUCUUCAGGGGGUGGUAAUUGCAGCUGAUAACGGCAAUCAUGUGUUCCUAAAGUGGCACUGGAGGAAUACGGAGAUGAUGUGGGGGGAGUGUCAAAUCUACGACUUACCUAGGGCGAUGUCAGCCAGCUGCAAACAGUAUUGCUAGACCAUCCAAAUUAAACAAUUCGUUUUUUAAAAGAAUGUAAAAUGAAUUCAAUAUGUAGAAUCUGUGGAAAAUUAUUAUAACAAACUCUUUCUACUUAUCUAGACUAAACUAAGGGCUUGUAUAGUCAAUGCAUGUUAUCGAUUGUACUAUGGCAUUCUGUUUCCAAUCUGAAUUUCCUUAGGGAUUUCUAUAUAUUUAAUUAAUUGUGAUAUUGCCUUAAUUGGAUGUCAAGUAAUAGUAGUGGCUGGAAGUGGUUAUGUUUUAUCAUUUCUGAUUUUAGUGUUGAAUAAGAACAAAUGCUUCUGCAGCCAUGUUUUAUGUUUGAAAUUUGGCAAGUUUAUAGUUUUAAAAAAUAAUUUUAUGUGUUAAUUUGCAUAAGUAGUCCAAAAUGUAUUUAAAUAUAAAUAUUUGAAAUUAGUAAAUAUGUUCUACUAAUGUGUAUAAGAAUCUUAUAUACGUAUUAAUUUUAUGAGUGCAAUUUAAUUUUGAAUGAGGCAUUUUCUUAAAUGAGGGUAACUGAAAUCUGUUUAAACUUCACUUUUCACAAUGCAUAGGUCUAGAUGAAAAAGGGGUUAGUAUUUAACAAAUUUCAUAGCUCAAGUGAAAGUUAGGCAAUAUAAAAUAAGUAUAACUUUUAAAAGCUUAAAAACAAUUAUUGUGUUUUCGCCUUACAAUUCAGAAGUGAUUAAAACAAAUAUCAAUGUGGGGUCUGGGUUAACUAUGUAAAAUCUUCAAGAUCCAGGGUAAGAAUUAUCAAUCUGAUCCUGUCAUUCCUCUACUGAACACCUCAUGGUUUCUUAUUACUCUUGGUGAAAAUAAAUAUAUAAAUAAAUAAAACCUCCCUAACACAGCCUAGUGUCCAGUACAAUCUUUUUCUACUUUUCUUGGCCCCCCUCACUCAAAUGCUUGCUUCCACAGGGCCUUUAUAUAUGUACUUCCCUUUGCCUGAAAGUCUCAUUUCAGUUGCUCCUUUGCUUAAUCACUCAGACUAAGUCAAAUCUUUAAAUAAUAUAUACUCAGGGGAUGUCAAUCUCUCUUUUAUAUUCCUAUCACAGUGGUCAUUUUUCUAUGUAUGUAUGUAUUAAAUUCAUAUAGGGGGUAGCCAAAAAUUGCAGCCCUUUUUAUAAUCAAUUUAUCACAGAUUUGCAGGGUUUACCAGUCUUAUUUCCCAGUCAUCCUUGUGAUGACACAUUUGUGGAAAAGAUGAGCCCACCAGAUAAAAGAUAAUAAUUAUAAAUAUGACUUGUGUUUGUAUAGAGCUUUAUAUCUUAUUAAGCCUAUUCGAAGUCUUAUUCUCAUUUGAUCCUUGCAAUAAUCCCAUGAGGAAUGUAGGAAAGUUAUUUAUUCAGCAAACAUUUUAAGCAUCUAUUAUGAUGCUGAAUGCUAGAGAUACAAAUAUAAAAAUAAGCAGCAACUUUACUCUCCUACCACCACGGAGAUCCUCCUUUGGGAAGAGAGAGGAGAUAUUCAAAUCGCUAACUAUAAGGGAGGGUGAUUAGGGCUAGAUUCAGUAUAUGAAAAGAUUGGUGCAUGAAUGAGAACAGGAAAUGGUUGAUUCUCCCUGAGGAAGGGAAAGAAGCGGGAAGAGCAGUGCAAGUAGAGGAAACAAAGCAAAUAAAUGAACAUGAAAUCAUGCAUCAUUUGUGUUGCAGAAAAGUCAGAUGCAGAGAGAUAUUGGUAGAAGAUGGCCUAGUUCUGCUUAUCUUGGUCUCCUCUGCAUAUCUCUGUCUUGAUUCCAUUCUCAGGCAGGUCCUCCUACACUAGUGACAAGCAGUUAACUAUUUCACAUGUUUUCCUCUCAACAUUUCCAAUAUGAUUUUUAAAAUUGUGUUGCAUGGGCUCCAUGUAUGUUGCAUGGGCUCCAUGUGGGCUCCAUUCUCUUCUCAGGAAUAGGAAAUGUUCAAUUUGACCACAUCUGAAUAAAAAGUCCACUUCCAAAGUCAGAUCCAGAUUAGGUGUAUCCAAAUCACAUGUCUUAAAGCAAUAGUUCUCAAAUGUCAACCAACGUAAGGCUCCCCUGGAGGGCUUAUGAACACAUAUAUGCUGGACUACACUCUCCAGAGUGUCUGAUUCAGCAGGUCAGGGUUGAAUUCCUAGAUUUCUUGGCAAUACUGCUGCUACUCAUCCAGGGCCACAUUUUGAAACCACUGCCUUUGAGAAUUAGAAGGACAGUUUCCUGUGAAAAAAAUCUACGUACUAUACCUGAAGAUAUACAUUGGGUUCCAGGCUAGCUGAAACUGCAGACUUAAAACUGUGCAAUUUUGGAAGCCUAUGGUGGUUGCUUACAUUUUAGCCUUUUCUGUCUUGCUUCACCAUUUCUACUUCACUUAUCAGUACUCUUUAUAAUUCAUAAUUCUUUUUUGGCUACACAAGUCUACUCACCUUCCAGCACCAGAUCUUUACCAUUCUGAAUCAAUAUAUCUGUUCUUUUUUGUUUUCCUCUGAAGAACUUGAUUCAAAGAUCUGAUGGUUGCAUUGCCAUUAAAAUCACAAAACAGGAGUUCCUUUUGUGGUGCAGUGGAAACAAAUCCAACUAGGAACCAUGCAGUUGCAGGUUUAAUUCCUGGCCUUGCUCAGUGGAUUAAGGAUCUGGUGUUGCCAUGAGCUUCAGUGCAGGCCUCAGACAUGGCUCGGAACCCACAUUGUUGUGGCUGUGGUGUAGGCUGGCAGCUGUAGCUCUGAUUUGACCCCUAGCCUGGGAACCUCCAUGACGCAGGUGUGGCCCUAAAAGGA
Molecule: long non-coding RNA, 4967 nt
Filed under: Sus scrofa (pig)
Lineage: Eukaryota; Metazoa; Chordata; Mammalia; Artiodactyla; Suidae
Description: lncRNA (ENSSSCG00000061280.1)
Source: RNAcentral